AUGGGGCUUCUCCAGGUCCUCGGCGCCCGCGCCCCUGGCCGACUUCGACCGCGUCAUGGCACGCCGUCAAGCACGCCGCGCGCGUCAUGGUGCCGCUGCUGCAUCCUCUGCACGGGGAGCACCACGGGGAUGAUGGGCGGGGUCGCGGUGCUCCCCUACAGCCUCUCGAAGGCGACGGUGGUGAGCGUGGUGCGGCUGGUGGCGGAGGAGCUGGCGUGCGCGUCAACGCCAUCUCGCCGCACGCCAUGCUACGUCGCUGCUGGUCCGGUCGCUGGCGAGGGCGCACCCGGGCUAGGCGCUGCUCGCAUGCGGGCGCGCGGCCAAGGAGGACGUCGUUGA
Molecule: ribosomal RNA, 339 nt
Filed under: Triticum aestivum (bread wheat)
Lineage: Eukaryota; Viridiplantae; Streptophyta; Magnoliopsida; Poales; Poaceae
Description: partial small subunit ribosomal RNA
Source: RNAcentral